CAGCAUGUCAGACCUCUGGCCCCCUCUCCAGCCAUAGGGAGUGUCGGUGCCUUCAAAACAUGCCAGAACAAUAGUUCAUGGAGUCUACAGGGCCAACGGUCUCCCAGAGCAGGCCGAUUGGUAGUAUCAGACUCCAACACUG
Small nucleolar RNA from Osmerus eperlanus (European smelt), 142 nucleotides. RefSeq annotates it as small nucleolar RNA U109. The transcript has a single exon. The record is from RefSeq and is a predicted model, not a curated record. NCBI's taxonomy places the organism in Eukaryota, Metazoa, Chordata, Actinopteri, Osmeriformes, Osmeridae.